Molecule: ribosomal RNA, 253 nt
Filed under: uncultured bacterium
Lineage: Bacteria
Description: partial 16S ribosomal RNA
Rfam family: Bacterial small subunit ribosomal RNA
Source: RNAcentral
UACGUAGGGUGCAAGCGUUAAUCGGAAUUACUGGGCGUAAAGCGUGCGCAGGCGGUUAUGCAAGACAGAUGUGAAAUCCCCGGGCUCAACCUGGGAACUGCAUUUGUGACUGUAUAGCUAGAGUACGGUAGAGGGGGAUGGAAUUCCGCGUGUAGCAGUGAAAUGCGUAGAUAUGCGGAGGAACACCGAUGGCGAAGGCAAUCCCCUGGGCCUGAACUGACGCUCAUGCGCGAAAGCGUGGGGAGCAAACAGG